UGGCAAGGGCACGGCCCCCGGCUCUGCCCCUGCGGGCACGGGGCCGGCCUGUCACCGGGGGUCCGCGUCCCGAGCGGCUGUGCACUCACCGAGCCAGGCUGCGAGGGGCAGAGGGGCGCCCGCGGCUAGCUGGAGCGCUGAGGCGCCUCCCUUUUCUCUUGGUAGCGUCGGUCCGCACUCCCUGUGACCCAGGACGUCAUGAUGCCUGUCUGUUUUCUCAAUGAUAACUUGGCAGAAGAAGAGAGAGGCUGCCAGGUUCUCCUCGGGUGGUUACGUGUUUACAGGUAGUUUGAAUUGAAUCCUGAUGCUAGUUGAAAAGCAGAGAUCUACCAAUGAAGAGACUUGGGUGCUAGAACCUGAAGGGAACUUUUGGCAUGUUUCCUGAUUGGAACUAAUUUCAAUACCACUUUCACUGCCUGGGUGUAGAAGGGAAAGAUAAUUUUCCUUGGCAACCAGGUUCAACUGGAAAAAAUAAUCAAGAUGUCACCCGAUGCCACAAGCUACAGACUAUGUUUUCACCUCUGUGGAUUUGCCAGUUGCUGAAGCAGCAGAGGAAACUCGUGUCAUGGAAAGAACACUAAACUUAGAGUCAGAACCCUUGAGGUCAUUGCCCUACCAUCUCUGGGUCAUGAUUCCUACACUGUUUUGGAGAUCCCCAAUAGGCUGGCAUAAGUGGGCCCACUACAAGCUUCAAAAGUCACCUCUUCUCUGAACUCCUCCACAGUGAUGCUUCCCUGCUUCUCCACUGUUUUUCCAGAAAGCUGAGGAAAGAAAAACGAAGAAGAUGGGAAAAAAUACUGUAAACCUAUAGGAGAAUUCACUGACUGUGGAGAGGACACAGAAGGCACUCCAAAUGUCCCAUUUUCAAAUUCCUAAAGAAUUUUCUUUAGUCUUCUAGGAUUAUAUAUUUUACCUUUCAAAUGAAAAAUAUAAUUUUUAAGUAUCAGGGUUUGGGGGAGGUUUAAAUGAGAUAAUGCAUAUAAUGGCGCCAUGUUUUGUCAAAGUAGGUAGCUGAUAAACAAUUCUCCUCCCUUCUUCCUCUUCUUCCUUCUUAGAGAACAAGAGACUCAAGUUCAUCAGUCUGUAACCAUAAUCAACUUGUGAGCUUUUCUCUUGGCCACUGCUAUAGUUUGGACAUUAAAUAUUCCCACAAGGUCCAUGUGUUGAAGGCUUGGUCCUUAGUCUGUGGUGCUGGGAAAAUGGUAGCACCUUUAAAAGGUAAGGUCCAGUGGAAGGAAGUUAGGUCACUGGGGACAUGCCCUUGAAGAAGGUAUUGGUACGUGACACUUUCCCUUGCUCUCUCUUUUGUUAAUUGGCUGUCACGAAGUGAGCAGUUUAUUGCAUCUCACAUUCCUUCCAUGAUGUGCUGCCUGCCACAGGCCCCAAAAUGACAGUCCAACCAACCAUGAACUGAGACCUCCCAAACUGUGAAUGAAAAUAAAGCUUUCCUCUUUUUAAGUUGAUUAUCUCAGGGGUUUUGUUACAGUAACAAUUUAACAUAGCCAGACUUCUAAAAAUGAGGAACACAAGGACUAACUUAUGUCAGUAGUUGCCACACUUGGCCACACAUAAAAUCACUUACGGAGAUUUUUAAAUUCCUGAUGCUUGAAUCACACCCCAUAGCAAUUAGGUCAGAAAAGUCCGAGGUUCGGAAUCAAGCCAUAGUACUUUUGAAAAAUUCCCACAUGAUUUCAGUGUACAGCAAAGUUUGAGCAAUGCGGAGAAAUGGCCUGUGGCUGGCUAAUUUAGCAAUUGGAGCCUAAUGGUAACAGGACCCAAGUUUAGACUCGGAUCCAGAACAGGAUAGUUCUUAGCUCUUGCACAAACCCAGAAUGUUAAUUCAAUCCCUUUUCCUUUUCAAUGAUCCUCUGGCAAAGCUCUUUGUAAAUGAACAGUAGACAGAAGAACAGUGAAUCGACUCAUCCCAAGUACCCAAACAGCAAAUAAAAAAAAGCACACAAAACACCCAUGUCUGUAGUACUUUUUAGUUUACCAAGAGCUAUUAAGUGUUAUUUAAUCUUCACAAUAACAUUGCAUAGUUGGCAUUAUUAUUGUUUAUAGAUUUUAAAAAAUAUAUCAAAAACUACAAGGAAGUUCACCUUGCUCUGGGACAAAGUGGCAGAUUCAAGGGUUUUACUGAGGCCCAGGACUCUGGAAUCAAUGCUCUUUACCUGAACCAUCCUGUCUGGUAAACCCCACUAAUCACCACUCAGCAAGAUCACAUCCACAGCUGAGGGUGGAUUCAGAGCUAUGGUCUAGUUUCUUUAACAUACCUGGAAGGAAGGGAGGAAAGAGAGGGAAGGAAAUAUUGUUAAAGGUAUCUGAAUUAAACAGAUUUA
Long non-coding RNA from Sciurus carolinensis (gray squirrel), 2339 nucleotides. RefSeq lists it as uncharacterized. The transcript has 5 exons. The record is from RefSeq and is a predicted model, not a curated record. Lineage: Eukaryota; Metazoa; Chordata; Mammalia; Rodentia; Sciuridae.